GCAGUGGUGGUUCCGUGGUAGAACACUCACCUUCCAUGUGGGAGACCCAUGUUUGAUUCCUGGCCGAUGCA
This 71-nucleotide transfer RNA is filed under the name Loxodonta africana (African savanna elephant). It matches the Rfam family "tRNA". Rfam says of the family: Transfer RNA (tRNA) molecules are approximately 80 nucleotides in length. Their secondary structure includes four short double-helical elements and three loops (D, anti-codon, and T loops). The record is from Rfam by way of RNAcentral. Lineage: Eukaryota; Metazoa; Chordata; Mammalia; Proboscidea; Elephantidae.